RNAcentral lists this ribosomal RNA (240 nucleotides) under uncultured bacterium. RNAcentral describes it as "partial 16S ribosomal RNA". It matches the Rfam family "Bacterial small subunit ribosomal RNA", at positions 1261 to 1500 of the family's 1533-position model. The record is from RNAcentral.
CGUGGAGCAAACCUCAGAAAGCCAAUCUCAGUUCGGAUUGUAGGCUGCAACUCGCCUACAUGAAGUUGGAAUCGCUAGUAAUCGCGAAUCAGAAUGUCGCGGUGAAUACGUUCCCGGGUCUUGUACACACCGCCCGUCACACCACGAGAGUUUACAACACCCGAAGUCAGUGGCCUAACCGCAAGGAGGGAGCUGCCUAAGGUGGGGUAGAUGAUUGGGGUGAAGUCGUAACAAGGUACC